GUUUGGAUCAUGUUUAUUUGUCUUUAUUUUUAUAUAUUUCACUACAGUAACAAUGACGUGAUUAUCAUUUCAACAUAUCGUUAGACUACUUGCUAAGUGUUAUAGGCCUAUAACCUCAAAAUAAUAUGAGACAAGGCAUAAGAGCAUCAGUGUCAGAUUAUAUGAUUAUCAUUUCAGCAAGUUGCUAAUUACUAAUUGUCACAUGUUAUCCUGAGAUCAUAUAGCCUAACACCAGCAUCAGUCAGACAUUGACGCUGACUCAUAUUUGGCUUCAUCCAUGCCUUCACUAGAAUUAGCCAAGCACGUUAAUUAGGAGUAGCCUAUCCGAAUACAUAAACAAAUACAUAUAAUCUGACAAAUAUGGCCUAUAAGCAUGCGAACUAUUAACAGGUUCAUUUGUUGAUAUCCGGGGGAAAUCCAGUCUAAUGGUUCUCAAGCGUUUCAGAGCACUCCGCCUGCAUGUGUACGACACAUUAUAUCAACAGCGCCAGUCGAGCCUGUCGGGCUCCGCAGCUCAUGUCAACAGCCAAUUCAUCAGCCGGCUGAUUACAGCGUGCUGCGAGC
RNAcentral lists this long non-coding RNA (564 nucleotides) under Sinocyclocheilus grahami. Its description in RNAcentral is "lncRNA (ENSSGRG00000015445.1)". The record is from RNAcentral. Lineage: Eukaryota; Metazoa; Chordata; Actinopteri; Cypriniformes; Cyprinidae.